Suncus etruscus (white-toothed pygmy shrew) is the source of this 107-nucleotide small nuclear RNA. The record is from RefSeq and is a predicted model, not a curated record. NCBI's taxonomy places the organism in Eukaryota, Metazoa, Chordata, Mammalia, Eulipotyphla, Soricidae.
GUGCUCCCUUUGGCAGUACAUAUACUAAAAUUGGAAUGAUACAGAGAAAAUUAGCAUGGCCCCUACACAAGGAUUUCUGAGCAUAGAACCAGAAGUAACCCCUGAGU